ACGGAGGAUGCAAGCGUUAUCCGGAUUCAUUGGGUUUAAAGGGUGCGCAGGCGGAAUGAUAAGUCAGUGGUGAAAUCCUACGGCUCAACUGUAGAAAUGCCAUUGAUACUGUUGUUCUUGAGUACACUUGGAGUGGGCGGAAUGUGUCAUGUAGCGGUGAAAUGCUUAGAUGUGACACAGAACUCCGAUUGCGAAGGCAGCUCACUAAGUUGUAACUGACUCUCAGGCUCGAAAGCGUGGGGAUCAAACAG
RNAcentral lists this ribosomal RNA (251 nucleotides) under uncultured prokaryote. Its description in RNAcentral is "partial 16S rRNA". It matches the Rfam family "Bacterial small subunit ribosomal RNA", at positions 525 to 775 of the family's 1533-position model. The record is from RNAcentral.